CCUACGGGCGGCUGCAGUGGGGAAUAUUGGACAAUGGGCGCAAGCCUGAUCCAGCCAUGCCGCGUGAGUGAUGAAGGUCUUCGGAUCGUAAAGCUCUGUGGGAAGGGAAGAAAAAAGUAUACCUCAUACGUAUGCUCUUGACGGUACCUUCUUAGCAAGCACCGGCUAACUCUGUGCCAGCAGCCGCGGUAAUACAGAGGGUGCAAACGUGGCUCGGAAGCAUUGGGCGUAAAGCGCACGUAGGAGGUCUAAGCCCUCGGCUUAACCGAGGAAGUGCAUCCGAAACUGCCAGGCUUGAGUAUGGAAGAGGGUCUCGGAAUUCCCGGUGUAGAGGGGAAAUUCGUAGAUAUCGGGAGGAACACCAGUGGCGAAGGCGGAGACCUGGGCCAAUACUGACGCUGAGGUGCGAAAGCGUGGGGAGCAAACAGGAUUAGAUACCCGAGUAGUC
This 448-nucleotide ribosomal RNA is filed under the name uncultured bacterium. Its description in RNAcentral is "partial 16S ribosomal RNA". It matches the Rfam family "Bacterial small subunit ribosomal RNA", at positions 338 to 795 of the family's 1533-position model. The record is from RNAcentral.